Molecule: ribosomal RNA, 253 nt
Filed under: uncultured bacterium
Lineage: Bacteria
Description: partial 16S ribosomal RNA
Rfam family: Bacterial small subunit ribosomal RNA
Source: RNAcentral
UACAGAGGUCCCAAGCGUUGUUCGGAUUCACUGGGCGUAAAGGGUGCGUAGGCGGUCGGGUAAGUCUGAUGUGAAAUCUCACAGCUUAACUGUGAGACUGCAUUGGAUACUAUCCGGCUCGAGGAAUGGAGGGGAGACUGGAAUACUUGGUGUAGCAGUGAAAUGCGUAGAUAUCAAGAGGAACACCAGUGGCGAAGGCGAGUCCCUGGACAACUUCUGACGCUGAGGCACGAAAGCUAGGGGAGCAAACAGG